This 226-nucleotide long non-coding RNA is filed under the name Salvia miltiorrhiza (redroot sage). RNAcentral describes it as "long non-coding RNA (SMIL_LNC012259)". The record is from RNAcentral. Lineage: Eukaryota; Viridiplantae; Streptophyta; Magnoliopsida; Lamiales; Lamiaceae.
GAAUCCUAGCAUGUGUCCAACCAAAUUUAAAACCCUCACUAGCAAAAAGUUGAUUCAGAUAGGCAGAGCGCCAUGUCCACAUCAUUUUCAAGAAACAAGGUUGUCGUUGAGUGACAGCGAAGCAAGUUGGUCGGCGGGGCUGCCAGACUGCUGAACAUUCCUCAGGACAUCCAUUGCCUCGGAAACCUUUGAUUUCAAAGCAUCAGGUGACUCAAGCAAAUGAAGA